This 253-nucleotide ribosomal RNA is filed under the name uncultured bacterium. Its description in RNAcentral is "partial 16S ribosomal RNA". It matches the Rfam family "Bacterial small subunit ribosomal RNA", at positions 524 to 776 of the family's 1533-position model. The record is from RNAcentral.
UACAGAGGGUGCAAGCGUUGUUCGGAAUUACUGGGCGUAAAGCGCACGUAGGUGGCGACGUAAGUCGGGUGUGAAAGCCCCGGGCUCAACCUGGGAAUUGCAUUCGAGACUGCAUUGCUGGAGUACGGAAGAGGAGGGCGGAAUUCCCGGUGUAGCGGUGAAAUGCGUAGAUAUCGGGAGGAACAUCAGUGGCGAAGGCGGCCCUCUGGUCCAGUACUGACACUCAAGUGCGAAAGCGUGGGGAGCAAACAGG